UGGCCAAGAGCCCUCCAGACCAAAAUAAUGUUAUCAAAGAUGUCCAAGGAUCUGCAAAUAAGAGGCAAGAUUCCUCAGACAGGCCAAACCAUUCCCUUCUAGGAGGAAGUUUGACAAUGUGUUAGGAGCAAGCCUAUCAUCCAGUUGACCCACUCAGGAAAGUACAAGUCUCGGUGGGGCUGGGUUCAUAUGGGAGUGCCAUAUACUAAGAAUCAAAAUCAGGCUUGGGAACAAAGCAUCGCUGGGACAGAAACUCGUGCUUGAAGACUAGGAAAUAAUUCAGGAGGCGAAGAACCCAGGAGCUUCCUAUAUUCCAUAGGCUGCACCAGCGUGAAAAAUCUCCUUUCAAGAAACAGACUUCGCUAUUAGUUCUCAAUGCACCAAAAAGUCAGCAGUGGUAGCUCCGCCUCCUCUCCUCCCCCAAAAGAAAUCUUCCUCGACUUACAAUGGAGUUACAUCCUGAUUUGCCCAUCAUACGUUGAAAAUAUCAAAUCACCAAGAAUAAGAGGAUUCAGUCAAAAUUUCUGAGACAAUCUCCUCUGGCUGAGCAAGAGGUGGUCCAAAAGCUUCUGCUUCUUUUGAGUUGCACUUAUGGUGUUGCUUUUUCUCACAGUCGACAGUGGAAGCAACAACGGGUAGGUGUGCUCCAGGAUGUGUGGUUUCAGUGGAUGCUCCUAAUGCAAGCAAAGAAGGGACUGUAAAUAAAGCAGACGUGCAGAUGCUACUACUGUGAGAAGCGCUGGGUCUUUUCCCUAAUGCUCAGUGAAUCCCCAUGACUCCAGGACACUCUUGACUUCCAGCCAAUACAUCACAGUCUUCCCCUGCAAUGGCUACAGAGAGAGGUUAAAAAAAAUAGCCCACAAGAGUGCUCUUUCCUUCUCUCUCUGCUCCUUCAGCUCCAAGAAUAGACUCAUUGACGAAGUGUGUCUCUGUGUGUCUGUCUGUUACCCCAUGAUGCAUGCUGCUUCUUAUCCUGUUCUUGGGCCUUUCCUAGAAACGACCUCAGGCAGAGAACUGAAAAUUAAGCAGAAGGAGAAGGGACUAAAGCUACUUCCCAAGAAUAGUUUCAACAAUAAUUACGGCAGUGACGAACGUGCUGUCUGGGGAAAUGUUUGGGAACCUUCAACCCCUUGCGCACAGGCACACAGUUAGUGAGGGGCGUGCAGCCCAUUCACGGGCUGUCUGAUUCUGACAGCUGAGUUCUUACACAGGGCAUCAUCCUAAGCUCAAAAAUGUCAGUUGGAAAGGAAGAAAUCAGCAUAGCGUUAUGUGCAGAGCGAGUGCCUAUAUCGAUGAGAAUCGGAAAGAGAGCCUCUCCAUGCUUCUCCACCUGCUCCGUGUCCAGGACACUGACCUGUCUCACCUGCUGCAACUCCUAUCUCUUUCUGCACCUGAUGCUCUCCAUCAGGGUUCCAGUAACUCUCCUGUGUCCCUUCAGGCUGGGGUGGAAAUGCUCCCCACCCUGCAUGGCUGCUAUGGCUUCCCUGCGUGCUGCCCACACCUUGAACAUCAUUUCUUCAUUAAACUCUCCUAUGUUACCCAUUUUAAGGCUUCCACCUGUUUCUUGCCAAUACCCUGACUGAUUCACACUUACAAUAUUACAUUACAAAUAGAAAAUCUACAUUGCACCUACAUUCUGACUGUCAAGAAUUUCUAUACCCCGCAAAUACUAUAAAGGUCCUCCCUCCCUCCAUAAAACUUCCCCUCCCACUCUGUCCUUUCUCCAGCAGAUGCCACACACUCCACACUUCACACUCACAGCUUUGUUUUCUGCUCUUCCUUCUGUGGCUCUCGAUCCAUAUGGUGAUGCCCCUAACCCUCCGUCUCCCACCUCACUCCCACCGUUAU
Molecule: long non-coding RNA, 1848 nt
Organism: Equus caballus (horse)
Lineage: Eukaryota; Metazoa; Chordata; Mammalia; Perissodactyla; Equidae
Source: Ensembl